CUUGCUAUCAGGCGUCGAGCGGCGGACGGGUGAGUAACGCGUAGGAACCUACCCAGUAGUUCGGGAUAGCCCAGAGAAAUUUGGAUUAAUACCGGAUACGCCCUACGGGGGAAAGGGGGCUUCGGCUCUCGCUAUUGGAUGGGCCUGCGUGAGAUUAGCUUGUUGGUGAGGUAAGAGCUCACCAAGGCAACGAUCUCUAGCUGGUCUGAGAGGAUGAUCAGCCACACUGGGACUGAGACACGGCCCAGACUCCUACGGGAGGCAGCAGUGGGGAAUAUUGCACAAUGGGCGCAAGCCUGAUGCAGCCAUGCCGCGUGUGUGAAGAAGGCUCUAGGGUUGUAAAGCACUUUCAGCAGCGAGGAAAGCUUGUUGGUUAAUACCCAUCAAGUGUGACGUU
RNAcentral lists this ribosomal RNA (397 nucleotides) under gamma proteobacterium BAL276. RNAcentral's name for it is "bacterial SSU rRNA". It matches the Rfam family "Bacterial small subunit ribosomal RNA", at positions 75 to 476 of the family's 1533-position model. Lineage: Bacteria; Pseudomonadati; Pseudomonadota; Gammaproteobacteria. The record is from RNAcentral.